CGGACGGGUGAGUAACACGUGGAUAACCUACCUAUAAGACUGGGAUAACUUCGGGGAAACCGGAGCUAAUACCGGAUAAUAUAUUGAACCGCAUGGUUCAAUAGUGAAAGACGGUUUUGCUGUCACUUAUAGAUGGAUCCGCGCCGCAUUAGCUAGUUGGUAAGGUAACGGCUUACCAAGGCAACGAUGCGUAGCCGACCUGAGAGGGUGAUCGGCCACACUGGAACUGAGACACGGUCCAGACUCCUACGGGAGGCAGCAGCU
RNAcentral lists this ribosomal RNA (264 nucleotides) under uncultured Staphylococcus sp. RNAcentral's name for it is "partial 16S ribosomal RNA". It matches the Rfam family "Bacterial small subunit ribosomal RNA", at positions 99 to 355 of the family's 1533-position model. The record is from RNAcentral. Lineage: Bacteria; Bacillati; Bacillota; Bacilli; Caryophanales; Staphylococcaceae.